AAAACCGAAGCGAACGCUGGCGGCAGGCUUAACACAUGCAAGUCGAACGGGCGUAGCAAUACGUCAGUGGCAGACGGGUGAGUAACGCGUGGGAACGUACCUUUUGGUUCGGAACAACACAGGGAAACUUGUGCUAAUACCGGAUAAGCCCUUACGGGGAAAGAUUUAUCGCCGAAAGAUCGGCCCGCGUCUGAUUAGCUAGUUGGUGAGGUAAUGGCUCACCAAGGCGACGAUCAGUAGCUGGUCUGAGAGGAUGAUCAGCCACAUUGGGACUGAGACACGGCCCAA
Molecule: ribosomal RNA, 288 nt
Filed under: uncultured bacterium
Lineage: Bacteria
Description: partial 16S ribosomal RNA
Rfam family: Bacterial small subunit ribosomal RNA
Source: RNAcentral